GGUGCUCACAGACUUUCAACUCAGUAUUAUGCUAUAUCCCAAGUACUGAACUUGUUUCUGAAGAAAGAAUUCUUCUGCCUUCCAGAGCCCUCUCUACACAUACACAAAGCUCAGAGACAAUGAAAGGAGUAUUUUUGCAAUGGUGACCGACUUCUGAUUGACCAUGACUGAGUGUGCCAUGGAGAGUUAUUUUAAUGAAGCAUCAGUGAAGAAGCGCUUCAAUGGAUUGGGACCCAGUCUUCAGAGCAGACCCAUCUCUUGGCCCUGUGUGGAUCAGCAGUAUGCUUCAAACCCGUUCUUCUGCCUAAACAGUAAGACAAAUCCUAAUGAAGGAGCUAGAAAAGGCAUGUUGGAAGCAAAGAUUGACUAUGACAUAAAGUAGGCUCAUGAGGAACAGCUGAAACUGAUGCCAGAAAAGCUUUGAAAAAGGAAACAGAGAGGUUCAAAAAGCCUUGGAAGAGUGACAAUGAUUCACCUACAGGAAGAAGCACAAUAGAACCAAA
Molecule: long non-coding RNA, 503 nt
Organism: Malaclemys terrapin pileata
Lineage: Eukaryota; Metazoa; Chordata; Testudines; Emydidae
Exons: 4
Source: RefSeq, a predicted model, not a curated record